CCUUACCUCUACAGUUCCCCUCCUCCUCCAUACCACUAUUAGAAUCCUCUAUCAAGAAGAACACGAUGUACACAAGAAGACAAGGACAAGAAGAAACCAUUAUUGGUGAUUGUAAUAAGAGAAACAUAGAGUGAAAGAGAGAAUCCAAGCAGAAAAAGCUUUCUCAUCAUUUUCAAUGUAUUUUAAAAGUUUUAUUGUAAUAAAUUUGAAACAUGUGUGAGUUGAUCAACUAAAUGUCCUUCAUGCACGCAAUCAGCAGUCAUAUAAAUGUUUUAAGUUUAAUUACUCUUGUUUA
Eutrema salsugineum is the source of this 295-nucleotide long non-coding RNA. RefSeq lists it as uncharacterized. The record is from RefSeq and is a predicted model, not a curated record. The transcript is spliced from 2 exons. Lineage: Eukaryota; Viridiplantae; Streptophyta; Magnoliopsida; Brassicales; Brassicaceae.